CACCCCUCAAGUCAAACUUUUUGGUUAACUUGACGUUGGGCAUUGCCUCGGGGGCAUGCCUAAAAGUCAAUGAUGGUACGUCAAACCACGGGCACAUAAAUGUUGUCACGUUGGGGCGGCGGCACCAGUCUCGCGAUUAAUUUCUCCA
RNAcentral lists this unclassified non-coding RNA (148 nucleotides) under uncultured Ascomycota. RNAcentral's name for it is "sequence contains ITS2". The record is from RNAcentral. Lineage: Eukaryota; Fungi; Ascomycota.